RNAcentral lists this transfer RNA (78 nucleotides) under Jeongeupia chitinilytica. RNAcentral describes it as "tRNA-Arg". The record is from RNAcentral. Lineage: Bacteria; Pseudomonadati; Pseudomonadota; Betaproteobacteria; Neisseriales; Chitinibacteraceae.
GCGCGCCGCCAGCGCGGUCGAGCGCUCGACCAGCUCCUGCCGGGUCUCGAUCCCGUAGAUCGUGCCCUGCGGCGCGUU